Thunnus maccoyii (southern bluefin tuna) is the source of this 1139-nucleotide long non-coding RNA. RefSeq lists it as uncharacterized. The record is from RefSeq and is a predicted model, not a curated record. The transcript has 3 exons. Lineage: Eukaryota; Metazoa; Chordata; Actinopteri; Scombriformes; Scombridae.
UGGAAUCAAGCUGCUUGUGGAUUUACACUGACUGACUUGGUUGAUGGAGAGGGUAUUCACAGGCUUGAUCUGUAUGGUCCGCAGGCGAAAGCGCCGACUGUUGGUCCUCUUCAACUGCAACAAGAAGCAACAAUAUGAGGGAGCGAACUUAUCAGAAGACACGCAAAAAUCCACACAUCAGUGACAGCAAAAGGAACGCCACACCACAAUUUGAGCUUGUUUCUCCUUCCUCUACACUGCCUAAGACAACCUGCACGGAUACAUGGAACUUUUUGGAGCCGUGAGUCCCACACAUGCUCAUUAGUACCUUAUUUCAACCCCUUGCUUACAAUAAAGGUCAUGCAUUGAGCUUAAGGCAGGACAGUGACAGCAAUGUUCAAACAGGGACCUUGCUGGUCCUGGCAUCUGUCGCCUGCAAUCGGAGGGCGCGAGCAGAGUCACAGGACUAACAGGCUAGCAUCUGUCCCACAACGAGAGAAGAAGAAGGGGCGGGGGGCACUCGGCUGCCUGGUGGUUAGGAACUGUCAGGCUGAGUUUCAUGACAACCGGUAGCACUCCAAAAAUGAAAAUGCAAACAUAAUUUCCAUGUCAGGCCGUAUAAGGCCUCACUCCGUGCGUCUCCCGCACUGUGUCGACAGCAACUCCGGAGCUCUGCUCGAGCUUAGCUAGCCAGGCGAUGCUCAGAGCACACAACCCUGCAAGACAUGUUGAGGGGUAGAAACGCCCAGGGAUGUUCAGCUAAACACAGAAUGGUCUUUGAUCAAGAGACGUUCGCUAAAAUUGUAUGACAGUCUACAACAUAUUCCAGCAAAUUGUAUCAACGCUUUACAAACUCAGACACAUUAUUCGUGCCUUCUGCAAUACAUCAGUACAAUUUAACAUGCCCUCUGGCUUUAAAGGGGAAUCACACUUGAAUUGAGAAUUCAUAUGCAGCUCUAUUCGGUUCAUGUCAAUUCAAACAAGUCCGAUAUGAUCCAGAACUGUCCUAUUGUAUUACUUACUGUAUGUUCCUCUUAUCGUACUGUUGUACUCUACUGUAUUAUUGUGCUAUAAAAACUCUCAAAGCCAGAAACUACAAUCCAGCAAUGAAUGGGACACUGGUUUAUGUAUUGAAUGUGAUUUGGAGAAUUUACCGACAG